Molecule: ribosomal RNA, 300 nt
Filed under: uncultured Desulfovibrio sp.
Lineage: Bacteria; Pseudomonadati; Thermodesulfobacteriota; Desulfovibrionia; Desulfovibrionales; Desulfovibrionaceae
Description: bacterial SSU rRNA
Rfam family: Bacterial small subunit ribosomal RNA
Source: RNAcentral
GGAGAAGCCGGGCCAGGUGUCGCGGUAAUAAUGAGGUGGCAAGAGUUAAUUGGAAUGACUUAGCGUAAAGUGUUCGCAGGCGGCUUAUUAAGGCAGGUGUGAAAUGCCUAGGCUGAACCUAGGAACUGCAUUUGAAACUAAUAAACUAGAGUAUCGUAGAGGGAGGUAGAAGUCCAGGUGUAGCGGUGAAAUGCGUAGAUAUCUGGAGGAAUACCAGUGGCGAAGGCGACCUCCUGGACGAAAACUGACGCUCAAGCACGAAAGCAUGGGGAGCAAACAGGAUUAGAUACCCUAGUAGUC